Molecule: ribosomal RNA, 111 nt
Filed under: Helianthus annuus (common sunflower)
Lineage: Eukaryota; Viridiplantae; Streptophyta; Magnoliopsida; Asterales; Asteraceae
Source: RNAcentral
GGUUGCGAUCAUACCAGCACUAAUGCACCGGAUCCCAUGCAGUUAAGCGUGCUUGGGCGAGAGUAGUACUAGGAUGGGUGACCCCCUGGGAAGUCCUCGUGUUGCAACCCC